RNAcentral lists this long non-coding RNA (26282 nucleotides) under Citrus x clementina. Its description in RNAcentral is "Citrus clementina (C. clementina) long non-coding RNA (CCLE_LNC005472)". Lineage: Eukaryota; Viridiplantae; Streptophyta; Magnoliopsida; Sapindales; Rutaceae. The record is from RNAcentral.
AAUUAUUUAAUUGUAAUAACUUUAAUUAUCAACUUCUAAAAUUUAUGGUAACGUUAUCAAUAAAAUUCCGAAGGAUGAAAAUUGUCAAUCAGUCUCAUUAAUAACGGCAACUUCUUGCUCAAUGUCACUCGCUUUCACUCUUAAUUUUGAAUAUUUAAGUAGUUUUCUUAUUAAUUAAAUUGAAUAAGUUGUGGUUUGUGUGUAAUCACUCGAGUUUCAGCAAUAAUGAGUAGGGUUAGUGUUGGUAUUUGCACAAAAUUGUUAUAACUACAAUUAUUAAUAGUUGAAGAACACCAAAUUUAUUUAUUGAGUAGUGUUACACAUCUCAAAAUUUUUAUCAUAAAUGAUAUGACAUUCAUCAAAUUGAUUGGUGAGAUAUUACAAUUAAUUUACUUAAAUUUGAUAAGAAAUUAUGAAAUUUAAUGAAUGACAUGUUAUUUAGAAUAAACUUUGAGAUAAUAGGAGUCUAUUACCACUCUUAUUUUUUUAGACUUGGCUAGGACUGAAAAAUGAUGUUGAAUCGUUAAUAGGAAAAUCAUUCAAGAAAACAUAGAACGACGAUGCAAGGUAGCAAGAAUAUUAAAAAAUAUGUUAGAGCCGGUUAGGGAUGGCAAUUGGCACCGCCCGCGGCGGGUUUGUCAUUAUCAAAGCCAAACCCACACAAAAUUUAAAUUACCAAACCCACCUGCAACCCAUAGCGGGUUUUAAUUUUUUUAAGAAAACCCACCCGCUAAGGAUUUUGACAAUUACCAAACCCGCAUUGGUAUCCGGCGGAUUUUUUGGGGAAUUUUUAUAUUUAAAAUCACAAAUGUUGAAUAUAUAAAUUUACAAUAAUAACCUCAAAUUCCACAUAACAUAUUCAAUUUUAAAUUUAACUAAUAUAAAUGAAAAAUUAAAAUUUCAACAUCAAUCCAACACAAAAUUUUAAAUUUUAAGUAUAAAAUACACAAAUCCAUUAAAAAAAACGACAAACUAAUAUCUAAAAAUAACAAUUACAUCUCAUAUUAUCAUUCAACACAAGCUCCAAGAAAGAUGUUCAUUUCAUUCACCAUCAUUAGCACCCAUCCAACAUGAUGCCUACAAUAAUGAUUAAGAUUAAUAUUUUCCAAAAAAUAAUAUUUUUCAAAUACUAAUCCGAAAAAACUUAUAUAAUGAACUAAUUCAUGCAUUAAGUUAAAGAAAAAUAGUCCAUACAAAAACAUUUUGGUUAUUUGGCACUUUGCAUUGUUAUACACACUACACUUGUUUAUACUUUGGUUAUUUGGCGCUUUGCAUAAUUGCAUUAUUUUCUUUAUAUAUUAAAUAUUUAAAUAUUUUUCAAUUAAAAAUAUUUAAAAAAUAUUGCGGGUCUAGCGGAUAUCCAUGUGGGUAUUCGCCGGAUAUUGGGCUAAUACCAAACCCACCCGCAUCCAAAUGCGGGUUUCAAUUUGUAAUACCAAACCCACCCGCAACCCACAAAAUUAUCCGAAGCAGACGGGUUUUGGCGGGUGGAUUUGGGCGGGUUUGUAGACACAAUUGCCAUCCCUAUAGCCAGUUAAAUGGAGAAAAAUUUUAAAUAGUUUUCAUAAAGCAUAUUUUUAUUUUUUUAUUGAGCAUAAAAAUUGCAUUAAUCUCAUGACAAAAGAGUAUAAAGUUCUACUAAAACAUUUUCCAGCCGAACUACAACACUAGUCGUCGAGGCGGAACUACAUUCACGCCUAGCAAGGGUUGCCAAGGUUUCAAAAUUUAUUUUUAAAAAAUAAUGUGAAAACUAAAAAGUUUUCAAAAUGAUCCCCAAUAUAUGUUUCAAGGCAACUCUCAAUUUUCUUCAUAUUUUCGCAACCCCUAAAUUAAAAUCUUAAUUCCACCACCGACUAGACGACUUUUGCAAAUUCUGCUAGCUUUUGAGUUGAUACUUUGCAAUUUCAAGAGACAGGUUGAACUCAAAAAGCACUCAUUCGUUCCAUCAGCAGAUGAAUAUCACUAAUGACCUAAACAAACCUCAAUACGAAAACCUUCAAUCAGCCACUACACAAUUGCGCUACUACAGUCAUUGAAUUCACAUGGCAACAACAUCCAUGGUUGUGCACGUUUUAGCUAGCGUCUUUAAUGCGCGCUCAAAUUUAAGUUGGCAAAAAUACAUGAUUUUUCUCUAAGCUCUGAUUUUAAUCUUGUGGGAAGGAGAUGAAUGAAAUACUAAUUUUUUUUUUAAAGGGUGAAAGACCAAAAAAGAAAAAAGCAGUACUUGAAAAUUAUAAGCUCAAAAGUUGUUUAACUAGCAAUUCAUUCAUUUAUUUUUUUAGAAGGAAUAAUUCAUGAGUUUUCAAGUCAGCUUUAACGACAAUGAGAUGUGAAAAUAAUUGUUGCAUCUUUAGAAAGUAGUCCUCUUAUAAGAAUGCACACAUCCUUUUAAAGUACAGACGUUCAGAUUUUAUAAGCUCAUAUUACAAUAUAUUUAUGUAAUAUUCAGAAGUUUCAUCGAGAGUUUUUAAGUUACAUUUCACUCUUACCCCUCCUCAUCAUCAAAUUAAAUGUAUACCCUUAGAAUUGCACUCGUGACUUCUUGCUUCCAUUGCAAUGGUUAAGCCAACUAUAUUCGGGAUUUAAAUUUACGUGAUUAUAAUACAUUCUCGAAAUGUAGCGAGACUAAAAUGAUAAUCUAAGCCUGUUAAACUAAAACCAAAACAAAUGGUUGAUCGUGAUUUCUUUUUCAUUAGAUUUUAAUACUAAUGUAUGCAUGGUGUAAUGUUUAGACAAAAUAGAUGGGCGCUUAGUGUUAUUUACUUAAUUUGAUAUCUAAUUUUGAGAACCACAUUGGACUGGUCCCGUUGGAUCUGACUGUCCAUGUAGUCUAUUUUGGUCUAAAUAGGGAUCAAACUUUGAUUGAACUUUGGACUCAAAUGUGGAAUCAGUUAGGGGUGGGCAUGAGUUGGUUUGGGUUAGAUUUUAAAACAAUCCGAACUAAAUUAUAAAAAUUUGGGCCUGACCUAAACCAACCCAAAUAUUUUUAACCGAGCCUAAAUAAUUCAUUUGGGUUUUGUUUGAAUUUUAUAAUCAAAAUAUUUUUUACUUUGAUAAAUUUAAUUAUAUCAAAAUUAUAAUAAUUAUUAAUUUUAUUAAUUAUUACAUUACUAUUAAAAUAUGAAAAAAUAUAGUGGAUAAAAAAUUAUAAAUAAUAGAUUUUACAAUAACUUUAUCCUUAAAUUAAAGAAUAUUAGAAAAUUAAAAUAAAAUUUAAUUACAAAAAUCAUUAUUUCUCAAUAAAUGAGAACGUAAACUUUAACAAUAAACUUUCACAAACAUGAUAUCAAUAAGUAAAUUAAAAGAAAGAAAAUAAAAAUUAGUGGUAUUAACCAUAUUAAAACACAAAUUCAAACAAUGUCAAUACAAAUCAAAACAAGAUAAGACAUCCCAACUCAGAUAUCAAAGCAAUCCAUUAUAAUCAUUUCUAUCCACAGUACUUUAAUUAAAAUAACAACCACAAGCUAUACAUGUAAAGAUAGUUGUAUUAAGGCUCCGUUUGAUACAACUUUUCAAGUAGAGAUUUUGAUAGUAGAGCUUUUACAAAUAGAGCUUUUACUUAAAAAAAUUUAGAUGUUUGGUUGUCAAUAAGAGCUUUUAUUAAAAAUUUAUAAAAUUUUUAAGUUAUGUUAUGAAAAUAAUGUCAAAUAAGUAAAGAAUAUUUUAGAUAUUUUAAUAUUUAAAAAAAACUUUUCAACCUCUACUCUCAAAAGCUCAAAAUUUGAGAUUUUGUUAGUAGAGGCAAAAUAGCUUAUUUAAACUCUAAAAAUUCUAUAAAAAAAAAACCAAAUAAAAACAAAAAUUAUGAUAAGAGCUUAUGGAAUUAAAUAAGCACUUAUGAACAUUACAUAAGCCAUACCAAAUAAACACUAAAUAAAUAAAAUAAAAGAGUAAAUGAAUAGAAUAUUUCAUGUAACUGAGCAAUCUCGAGCUGUUUACGAAUAUAUGUGGAAAGUGUCCUAAGUUUAAUAUAUAAAAUGGUUCUGAAUAAAGAGAAUUUGAAAGACGAAUUGAAAGAGCGAGCAGGCACUAAGAUUUCCUCAUUUCAAUCUCAUUCAGGUAUAUUUGAUUAGUAAAGUGAAAGACCCCGAGUCCGAGUCCGAGUCCGAGUCCGAGUGUCCAACUAGAAAAUUCAUUAAAUACGCACCUUCUAACCGACUCAAUCCCACCACAAGGGACCCACAAAACCCACCCAACCAAACAAAACUGCCUUUUAAGUCUCAUUAAGUCUCUGUUCUGUUUUGGUCAAUCGAAUUCCUCUGUCCUUUCUGCGCAACAAAAUCACAAACGAUGUUGCGCCAUGCCUCUAACCUCGCCUCCAAAGUCAGGUGCACUUCUCCUUCACAGUUUACCAAAUUUUUAUUUUGUUUACUUUGUUUUCCUUCCACUUCUCUCAUUUUGUUUAUGUUAGUUAAUUUGAUUUUGUAGGUUGCUUGAUAACAAUUUUCAGCCGGUGAUGAUUCAUUCAUUCAUUUAUUAGUGUUUUUUGUUUCCUUUUUUCAAAUAAUAAUAACUAAUUCUGGCUUGGCUUAUUCAGUUCAAUUGAUUAAUUUCGUUGAGUUAAUUUCGUUGAAUUUAAUUCUGUGUCAGGUUCAUUUAACUCGGAGCAGACAGUAUACCGCGGCGGAAGUCACUAAAAGAUUUUUGGAUUGUGAAACAUCUUCUGGAUUUUCUUAAUUAAGAAAUUAGAUUUGCUGUGAAUGGGAAUGGAGUUAAUUAAUGGAUACAGAUCAUCUGAUCAAAUUCAAUUGACAUCUAUCUUCUGUCUGCAGGCACCAAUUCUAAAGUUAAAAGGGAGAAUUUUAUAUGCGGGAGGAUGCGGAAGUGCCAGACCAAAGACAAGGGGCUAGAAUGGCAAUUGAUGCACUUGUGGGAAAUUUAUACAGCACAGCACAACCCAUCACAUCAUUCGAACAAAUAGCCCUGGUUUUCUUUCUCACUUUAGACUCUUGCUCAAUUUAAUGAUAAUCCACAGAAAUAUAUUUCAUUUUGACGCGCUUUUUUUCCCAUUUUAAAUUGAAGUUUGGAACGGCUGCAGCAAAUGGUGACAGAGUGAUUGGCGAGCUCAUAGCCAAGGCUUUUGAGAAAGGUUGGGGAAACAAUCUUCAUGUGUUAGCUGUAAGUUGCUUCUUGAAUUUUUCAUCGUCUUUACUUUUUUCUUAUCUGCUGUGCCUCUGAUUCGGUUGUUAUGUUUCAGAACCUUCCAUUUUGUUUCCUCUACUGUUUUAUGUUUAUUUUCUACUGCCUCACUACUAUUGCAGGAUCGGAAAACACCACCCAGUAUUGAACUUCAGUUGUAUUGGGGAAUGACCCUAGACAGGGGCUAUUUGUCACCUUACUUCAUCACCAAUCAUAAGACGAAAGAAUGUGUAAGCAUUUUGAGAUAUCAAUAAAUUAAUUGACGUUUUAUGAGAAAUUUGUGAUUCUAUAAAGGAUAGAUAUAUUGACAAUGAAGUAAUUGAGAUUGCUUAGUUCUUACCUUGAAGAUAUAACUUUGGAUCAGCCUUGUUAUUAAUCAACUAGUGAUUUCAUUUUUACUAGGUUUUACGAGAUCCUUAUAUCAUGAUCCUUGAGAAAAAGGUUUCGAACUGCGUCUUCUUUGACUUAUUGACAGAGAUUGGACCAGUUAGAAGAUAUAAUGGCACAGAUGUACUGAUCAUUGCUGAAGAUAUUGAAAAUGAUCUCCUAGCAAGUCUUGUCUUAAAUGGAGUGGCUACAGCAACCAAGGUGAACUUAUACUUGACAGUGUUUUGCUGUUAAGAGAUGGCCUACUUGAAGAAUCUUCUAUCAUUCAAUUAUUCAUUUAAUUUUACAAAGUGAAGUUUCAUAUGUCUUCUCAUUUUUUGUGGGUUCUGAAUUGCUUGAAGCCUUGUGUCAUAAAACCUCCUGGAUUUGGAGAAAGUAGGAAGGCUAGCCUUCGGGACAUUGCCAAAUUCACGUAUGGGAAGGUUGGUUCAUUUGAUAAAUGCUCCACCUUGCUUUGCAUGAUUAUUAUGUGAUUUACAAAACAAUGUGUUCCUUUCUUUCUCUUUUAGGUCAUGACAGGAAAAGAUUUUGAAUGCGUAUCUCUUGGCCAUGCUGAGAAGGUGAGAGAUAUCAGAUAUCAGUGACUGGUAUAUAAUUUUCUUUGGUGUGAAAAAAAGAUUUAUUUUACCUAAGUAGAGCACAUCAUGAGAACGUUCUUCUCAUCCUUGUUUCUGGUGGACUUUAAUCCUUUCUUCUGGUACAACUUUGGCAUAGUAAUAUAUUAAUUUUCAUUUCCUUGUGUAUAUUGACAAGAGAGACGAGGUUUUGCUCAAACAAUAUGUCUUAGCCCUCUUUUAUCAUUGUAGAUUACGGUAUCAAAGGAUCAGACGGUUAUCCUUCUUUGUAAGGCUUGCAUAGGACACGAAAAGGUCUGUGUUGUGACAUUUCACAUGAUUUUCCAACAAGUUAUCAGAAUUUUCAAUUGUGUUUAUAAUUUGAAGCGACUCUGCUUUUCAGUUUAUACUGUUUGGCUCUUUUGUGCUUCUUUGGGCUGUUUCUAUAUUUUUGGACAACUUGCUUACCCUUUUGCUAAUUUUCUUUUCUUAAAUAUGUCUGUUGCAGUUGUUACAGUGGAGAUUCACAAUGGAAAAUUUACAAGAUUUCCCUGAAGAGAGCUGUACAAAGCACUCUUAUCUCGCUGCUGUUAUAAAGGUUUGGUUAUUUGGAAUUGUAAAUUAGUUCUUCAAGAGCUUUGAAACUGACUUGUGCUGGGCAUAGAAUGAAAGUUCUCAGCCUAACAUGACCUAUUAGCACGAUCCAUUUGGGCCAAGUCAUGACCAGGUCUAAACUCUAAAUCCUGGUUGGCCAGCCAAGAAAUUUGAAUUUUCUUUUAUCUGCUAUUAAAAAAGUUGAAUAAACUCAUUUAUAGGGAGGAUCAAUGAUCAGGUCAUUUUGGAUAAAAUGAUUUAAUUAAUUGACUAAUUCUUUGGAUUCAUAUUACAUUCCCAUCUUCAUAUGAUUAUAAUUGAAGUAUAGAGUAGACUGAUACCGUACAAAUACUUUGAUACUUUAAAAUGGGAAAAAGAGAAGAAAAACAGUACCAAACAGUCAAUUAGACAUUAUAAUAUAUGUGAAGUUUUGGAACUGGAUUUUGGUAGAAGUAUAUAUUCCUUGCUAAUAGGAACGUGCCAAAGAUGAAUUCAAUUUGCUUGUUUGGUUACAGUAAUUGCAUUUAGAAGACAUGACUGCAUCUUAUUCUGUUGUUGCAUCAUGCUAUAAAUGAAAUUUGGCUCGUUGAGAUGAAAGAUUGUUGAAUUAGAGAUGUUAGGUAAGGAAGUAUUCUGAUUUGAAAUGAAACGGGUGCUGUUGUUGUAAGGUCUGUGGAAGUAAUAAAGCUGAAGUGCGUGAAAAGAAGGAUAGAGUUGCUAAUGCCAUAAAUGCUGUCAAGGCUGCAAAGGAAGGAGUUGGUAAACCUCUUAUAUUUUUGGCUUUUGUUGGUCUAUCUUGUUUGAUUGAUGCAUGACAUACAAAUGUUAUAUGUAUUCUGAUGCAUUUGCAGUUAGUGUGAUGUCACUUUUAUAUGCCUGCAAGGAGUUGGAUAAAUUGCAAACUGCUAACCAUGGUCAGAAGAUUGGUGUUCAAGCUAUCCAAUAUGCUCUUGAGGUUUUCUUUAUUCUUCUUUUUAAUUAUGUAUGUGAUAUUUCUAAAAGCUCUUAUUGUCUAUCUGUCUAAAGGCAGAGGGCUGCUAAGAUUAUUCCUCGUUGAAAGGUGAAAAGUGACAUAUACUUCACAAAAUGCAUGCGUGGUUUUCGUUAUGGGGCAUGAGCCUUAUCUUUUAUGUAUCUCAAGAGUGAAUCAUGGUAGAGAAUAUUGGUAACAAAAUGUCUAGUUUUUCAGAGCCUUCUGAUUGGUUGAGCCUGCAUCUGCAGAUGCUGGUGAGCGCGAUUGCUUAUAGCGCUGGAGUUGAUGGGUCAGUUGUUAGCAAGCUACUCGAGGGAUCCAAGCCUAAACCCCUCGGUAAAGGUUUGCGUCUGUUUCCCCCUUUUUCGAAUAAUGGAAAUUUGAAAAGGAAACGAGUGAAAUUCGAGGGUUGGGAAUUAAGUGAGGGUACUUUGAUCUACAUUUGUGUCAGGUGAAAAUGCAGAUAUGCUUAUGCCAGAAAUUGUUUUUCCAUUGAAAACCAUAAGAGCAGUCUUGGUGGAGGCUACAAGGUAACUAGUUAUUUAAAACCUUUAAGCUUAUGCUAAUUUUUUAUCUAAGCACAUAUUAAUUCUUUCUUCUUGUGUAGUGAGAUGUUAGCAAGACUUUGAAAUUGAGGCUCUUAAGGUGGCUCAGCUUGUCUUUCCAAGAAUAUUUGCAAAGAAAGUUCCAGCUGAUACAAGCCUCCAGAGUAAAACAAAGGCGUAAUGGAGGCUUCUAUCAGCUUUCACUGGGUGCUGUUAUGGUUACGGUGAUUUAUAAUCCAAAUUCUCAUGGCACAUUAUAUUUAUUUAUUAUUUGUUUGAAAAGCAUACAUUAAGCUUUUUCAUAAACUAUACACGAACAAGAAACGGAAUAUAUUGGUCAUCAGGAGUUGCGCCUUAGAUAAAUAAUACAUGGAUGCUCCAACUUCUUAUAUGCAGUUUAUUUUUUUUCUUUUUCCCCUUAUUUUCCCUUUUCUGUUAGAAGCAAAAAUAUUCUCGACAUCCCAUUUCUAAUCUAUGUAUAUAAUAUCCCUCCAAUAAAAUGUUGCCAGAUUAUGAUUGCUAUUACCAUUAGCAAGUGGUGAGUGGUAGAUUUGUUGUUUUGUUGCAAAAUUAAUAUGUCAACUUUUGCGCCUUAGAUAAAUAAUACAUGGAUGCUCCAACUUCUUAUAUGCAGUUUAUUUUUUUUCUUUUUCCCCUUAUUUUCCCUUUUCUAUUAGAAGCAAAAAUAUUCUCGACAUCCCAUUUCUAAUCUAUGUAUAUAAUAUCCCUCCAAUAAAAUGUUGCCAGAUUAUGAUUGCUAUUACCAUUAGCAAGAGGUGAGUGGUAGAUUUGUUGUUUUGUUGCAAAAUUAAUAUGUCAACUUUAUUGCAAACUUUGCCCUUGAAAUCGGAAGUCUUCUAUUUUUUUUUUAAUUUUUUGAAAAAAUAAGAAUGGUAUUUAAAUAAGAAGGGAUAUCGACGGAAUUGAACUGAUGGUGUGCUUGUUUAUCAGUCACAUUCUUGUUUAUUUUUCAGAAAAUACAAUCCAUAAUAAGAAUCAAUUUUAUAGGACCACUCAAAAUGAGAAUGUGGAAUAAAAAUCUCAUUUUCUAAACUGGUCUUUUUUUUUACCCUUAUUGAUAUUGAAAUUCAAAAAUUUCUUUUUCACCCCCAUAUAAAUACAUAAAAAAAAUCAAUUACUUCAAUAAUUUUAUUAUUUAAAAUUAACAUUUAUAAAAAAUUAUUAUAAAAGAAUUUUUUUUUCUGGAAAACUAGUUUAGCGUAAUAUUAUUAAGAAAUAUACAUACAUUUUAGUUUUAUUAGUUUAGCUCAAUUUUGCUUUUUUUUUUUUGGAAGUCAGUGUUUUAUAUUUAUUUUAGUGCAUGUAAUAUGUAAAAAUAACUUGAUUUUACCUAUUUUGAUAAAUUUACGUUAUUUUGGAUUUAAAUAUAAAAGGUAUUAAAACUCCAUUUAUAUCAGUUUUUUUAAUUAUUAAUAAUGUUCUCUUUGAGAAGGAUAUAAGUCUUCCAUCACUUUCAUUUUGUGUCACAUUAUAAUUUGUGAUACAUUUGGCAACUCGCAUUACAUUGUAUUGCAAUUGCAUUAAAACACUACUCUUAUGCUAACUCAUGCUUGGUUAAAAUUUUUAGUUGCAUUGCACUACAUUUAAAAGUUGGCUAAUAUAAGAAAAGGUGUAUAAAAUAGAUUCGCAGGGGAGACGGUGGUAGGGUUUCAGCUGUAUUAUAUUCAAACAUUGUUUAUAUUUUAAUUAUAAUCAUAUAACUUUUAUUAUUUAAUGAAUUAUAGGAAAUUUAAAUUUAUUAUAUAUUAAUUUAUAUUUAAAUAAAAAUUUAAUUUAAUUAAUAAUAAAAGAUAGUAACACACCUAAAUAUUUAAUAAAUAAAUGAUUAUACAUUAUUUUAUUUCAUUAAAUAUAAUCAUUUUAAUUAUUUACUUUAAAUAUGAAAAAAGUAUUUUAAUUUUAUUUUAUCAUUUAUUAUUCAAUAAAAAUUAAUUUAUAACUUAAUAUCAUAUUGUUUUAUAAAUAUAAUAUAAUAUAAUUUAAUUUAUAUUAUGUAAUUAUGUAGUAUUAUACUUUUAAAUAUAAUAUUAAAUUUUACUACAUUAUAAUAUGAUUAUACUAUAUUCCAAUAACUAAUAUAUAGAGAUAAAUUAGAUUAUAAUAUAAUAUUAUUAAUAUUAUAACAUAGUAUUGUAGUGUUUUAUUAUUUAAUCAUAGUAUAUGAUUAAAUCAUGUUUAUUAUAAAAUUAAUAUAUAAAAAUAAUUAUUUAAUACUUAAUUUCAAUAAUUAAUAAUGGAAUCCUAAAAUAUUAAUAAAUUUAAAUAAUAUUAAUUUAAUUUUGGCAUCAAUAUAAAAAUAAUAUUAUUAUCAUAAUAUUGUCUAUGUUGCGCCAAACAUAAUAUUGCAAUGUAGAUAUCCUAAUGCAAUACAUCGUAACACAAUACAAUUAAUGCAAAAAGUGUGCCAAACAAAUCCAUAAAGCACAAAAAUUAAAGAAAGUGAAAGGACAAUAAAAACAGGCAAAAAAAUAAAAACAGGUCGUAUUCUUUAGUCAAGACUCAAGGGUGGAAAUUGAUACUAUUUGCAAUUAUUAGGUGGAAAAUUGAUUUUCUUUUUCCCAAUGGAUAUAACAUUGAUGGAUGAUACAGAUUUUAUACAGUUGGCGCAAAAUUGAAUUAAUUUAAAUUUUUGUAGCAUUUUCUAUAUUGGAGUAAUAUUCAAAUCAACAGCUGAUAAUAUCUUUAAAUUUCAAUAACUUUAAUUAGCAUCAUCAACAAUCAGUUGAAAUGUUAUCAAUAUAAUUCCUCGGGAGGAAAAUUGUCGGCUAGUCUUAUUAGUCAGCACGAUUUCUUGAGUCAUUAUCACUCAGACUCACUCAUAAAUUUGAAUAUGUAGGUAGAUUUCUAAUUAAUUAAAUUGAAUAGUUGUGUUUUGUACCCGUGAUCACUUGAAUUCCACUAAUAAUUAUUAAAAGUUGAAGAGCAUCAAAUUUAUUUUUUUUUCAAACUUGUCGAGGAUUGAAAAACAUUGUUGAAUCAUUAAUAGGAAAAUCGUUCGAAAAAACGUAGAAUGAGGAUGCAAGACAGCAAGAAUAUUAAUAAGUAUGUUAAAGCCGGCUAAAUUAAGAAAAUUUUAUGUAAAAUGUAAUAAAAAAUAUAAAGACAUUUUUGAGUAGUCAAUUUUAGCUUUCUUUCACAAAAUAGUAUUAUAAAAGACAAUUGGUAAAAUGUAAUAAAAAUGGCACGAGAAAAGGUUAGUAGAGGUGAUUUUCCUUGUAGUUAUUAAAACAUAUGAAGUAAUGGACACACACACAUAUUCAGUACUUCUAUUUACCCCUAUUUAUUAAUAGGUGGGAAAUUAAAGUCGUAAUUACCAUAAUGUAUUAUGAAUUGAUAUGUGAAAUAUAAAUAUUAACAAAAGCUAAUUUGUAGACUAAUAAAGUAAACCAUAUUUUAUGGGCACUAGAUACAUUAAUCUAAUGUCAAAUGAGAUAUACCACGUGAUAUUUCAAACUGUAGUCCAAUUUUCAGCAUUUGCAUAUGGUUUUAUAAGCUAGUAAACCAAUAAAAUAUACCAUGAGAAAUCAAAGGCUAUUGCAUAUAUUGCACCACUGGAUAUAUAUAUAUAUAUACACAUAUAACUUCCGUUAAUCUUCCAUGGCCAUGCAUUAGAAUAAAAUAAUCUAACCGCACAAACUAUAUCCGAUUGAUAAAUUUUGAAAUUAUUUUGAUUACAUGAUAAUCGAAUUAUCUUAUAACAUUAAGGGUAUGAAUUAAGUACUAUUUUAUCAAUUUUGAGUAUCGCAUUGAGUUUUCAAAUUAAUUAAAUGUUGAAACUCUUUCAUGUUUGGCCUGACAUUAUUACUUAAUAAAAUUACGAAAAGCCAAUAAUGAAUGGUGAAGGAUACAUAGUAAAAUAAACUUUAAAAUGUAAUUAAGUAUUCCCAUGAAUUUUGUGUAAUUAAACAAAAUAUGUUAUUUAAGUGAAAUUGUGAGAAUAUUUAAAAUUGUAGGGGUGGUCACUAAAAUUUCUCGGACUUGAGCAAACUACACGAUCCCACACGGUUUAUUUUAACAAAUAAAACUUGUUAACCGCUGACUGUUGGUAGAAUAAGUUCGUAUCAAUAAAACACAAUUCAAACUCAUAUUUGCAAGCAGCAAACAAUAUCUCAUCAAGGAACAAAUUUGAGUGGAGUUUUUGGUCAAUCAAUCUAAAUAAAUUUGAGUAGAGUUUUUUGGCAAUUAAUCAAGUUUUUGAGUUUUCAAAAAAUUUAUGUUCAAGGUAAAUCUAGGAGCUAUCAUUACAAGAAAGCAAUGGAUAUUGAUCAACAAAGUUAGUACUGUAUAUAUUCUUUGUAAUUUGAUAUUUAGAACUGUUAUGAUUAUUUUGUUGUUGAGUAGAGAGAUGGUUAUGUGGAGAUUUCAGCUAUGUAACCAUGUAAUGACCAAUGCUUUAAAAUCAAACACUUGUUCGAUAAUUUGACAAAACAAAAAAAAACAUGUAGAAAUGUAAGAAAAAUGAGCAUGUAAUGUCUGGCAGUCAUGCUUCUAGGGGAAAGAGGCUGAAACAAAGAACUAAUACAUUUUUUAAGUUGGUUGCUUCAGUGAUUCUGAGCAGUCAGCAUUCUUUAAGCCAUAUAUUCAUGUAGAAACCUUCAAAUAGAAAACCAUAAAAUUCUUUGAACUCCUGAGGAAUAAAUCUUUCUAGACAUAUAUAGUUUCUAAUUUUAUUCCUUGUUAAUUGAUAUCAGUUAAUUCAAAAACUUCGGGUCUUGUGUGGUUUCAAGACAGUUGUGACCUUUGUGCACUAAGGGCCCGUUUGGGAGUGUGGUGAGGUAGCUGGGUUGUCAAAGCCCAGCUACUAAAGUGUUUGGUAACACUUAUACCUGGGUUUUGACAAUUUAGCAGAUUUGUUUUCCCAGCUGCAAGUUUAAUUACUAAAUUAGCCUUAUAUAUUAUUCCAUUUUAAUUUUAUCAAACAGUCGUGUCAGUGGGAGUUCUAUUUCAAAUCAAUUUUUUUAAACAAACCCUAAACACCCAUUCUCAUCAGCACGAUUCCGACUGUGGGAGUUCCAAUUGAUGCGAUUCCGACACUGGCCACUCUCAUACGCCUCUGUCAGUGGUGCGUUUUCCUCUACCCGUUGUUCAUUUUUUAGUGCUCCUUUACUCUAUUGCAAGCAAUUUUUCAUUUUCUUCCUUUUCGUUCAUAAAAUGUUGGGGCUUUUGUUUAGAAUAAAUUGAUGGGUGAUGGGUCAUGUGUGAUUUAUUUGCUUGUAACCAUUGUUUUUAUCGUAGUUUUUAUUUUUGUAGUUGCUUUUUGUAGACAUGCACAGCCCCUGUUUGAUUUGAGUUUCUAGUUCUACAAAACAUUAAAUAAUAAAAUGCAUGCCUACGUUAUGAAAUACUAUGCUUCAGUAAACAAAGGGAAGUUUGUCAAAUUCCGGAUUUCAAGUUGAUGUUUUGGCACAGUCAAAAGAAGGGGGAAAGUGUUGCAAUUGCAAUUGUAUAGGUCUUAUCCAAUUUCUUUGGGAUGGGCCAAAAGAAUAGUACAGGAAAUAUCAAAGCACGUAGCAAAUUUGAGAUUGUGAGGCUAAAUGCAAUUGCAGUUUGUACCUAAUGAUUGUUUAGUUGAAUUUCUUUGUUUCCUAGUCUGGUUUGUCUUUUGUUGCUUUAUUGACUUUCUUGUAAUUGUUUCUAUUCGUGGGCUAUGAUCAUUAUUGUUUGCUGGAAAAGUAUUUCAAGUAAACUAAGUGUUUGAUUAAAAGUAUUUCAAGUAAAGUAACAACUAAAGUAACUUGUUCUGGUUUGUCUUUUUUUUUUAAAUUUUUUUAAUAUCGAAUUAUUUUUCCUUCCACCAUCCAUAACAAGAUUCUAGUAAUUUUAUUAACUUCUAUGUUCUUAUUUUUCCUGUAUUGUUGUUUGACAAAGAAAUAUUUUUUUUUCCUAGGUUUAAGUGUAUGAAAUUAUGUCUAAUAGCUCAACUAGUAAGGCUACCUGGAACCCCCAGACUUUAGAUGUAUUUUGUGACUUAUGCAUUAAAGAGGUGGAUGCCGGACAUCGUCCUGGGACUCAUUUGACUUCCCAAGGAUAUGAAAAUUUGAUUAAGGAGUUCAUUAGAGAAACUGGAUUAGAUUACAACAGAACUCAAAUGAAAAAUAAAUGGGAUUCUUUUAGAACUGAUUGGAAAUUGUGGAAGAAUUUGAUUGGUAAGGAAGCUGGUUUAGGGUGGAAUCAUAGGUUGAGGACAAUUGAUGCAAGUGAGGAAUGGUGGGAAAAGAAAAUAAAGGAAAAUCUGCAAUUCAGUAGAUUUCGGAAAAAUGGUAUUGAUCCAGAGUUGGAGAAAAAAAUAAAUUUAAUGUUCAUGAACACUGUGGCUACUGGUGAGCAUGUUUGGGUUCCCUCAUCUGGUUUUCCUUUAGAGAGUAAUGACGCAUCUGAAUCUCUUUGUGUUGAGAGUACUGCUGACUCUGAUGAGUAUAUUGUGUCUGAUGAUAGUAAGGGAAGCAAAGGUAAAAGAGUGGCCUUAAAAGGGAACAAAGUAGGAGGUGCUGUAAAACUGUCAAGGCAGCUUGAUCGUCUCAUUGAUGCAGUAGAGAAAAGGAACACAACUUCAAACUCUCAAAAUGAUACAAGUGGGAAAGAGAUUUAUAAAGCAUUGGAAGUGGUUGCUUCUUUACCAAACAUUGAGGCUGGGAGUAAAGUGUGGUUAUUUGCUAGUCAGUUGUUUACGGACAAAGUGAAAAGGGAUUUAUUUAAUGAGAUAGAAGAUCCAAAUGUCAAAUUGAAAUGGCUUAAUUAUGAGAAAAAUACAAAGUGAAAAUGUAUUGUAUUUAUGAAACAAUAUUUUGUAAAUUAUGUUUAUGAAUGAAUACUUUUUAUUUUGUCACUGAUUACACUUUAUAUUACAUUUACAAUGUAUAUGAAUUGUUGCUAUUGAUUUAUUUGCUUGAGGCUUAUUUAUGGAAAUAUUUCUGGACUAUUUGCUUGAGGAAAAAUAAUAGCAUUGAAAUUAUUAUUAGUAUAUCUUCCAUAAUUAUGUCUUAACUUCUCAGCAAGCUCUGGCUCUUGGCGUAUAAUUUCCUUCACAAAAUCCACAUGCCCAAGCAUACAUAAUUAAUUUAUCCUGUUGAAGCACAUGAGCCAUUCUUUGUGAUUAAUUAAUUACAACUUAAUUACUUAAUUAUUUCUCUUGCAUAUGUAAUUGGUUGACUUUAUUCUGGCUGUAAUAAAUACCAUGAGUUGUAAGAAUCAUUAACCUUCUUAUAGGCCUCAUAUAUGCAUGAUCGUAUAGAUAAUGCUAAUAAACGUUCUUCAAAUUAAGUUCAUUAAUUUCAUAUUUCUGUCUUAUAUUUAUGCUUCCAAAUGGAUAAUUUUCUUGAGAACUUUCAACAUACUCAAUUAUUUCUUGUCCAAUAUUAUUCUAACAACUAAGAAGAAUAAGAAUAAAGGGACCCUUUAUUUAUGCUUUCAACCAAGAAGAAUAAAGGGACCCUUUAUGAAAAAAAAAAAAAUUCUAAGAGCUAUAAAUCUUAUAUUUGGAGCAUUUAUGAAAAUAAUAAUAAUAAUAUUUUCAAGGGUCCCUUUAUGAUGCCGUAAUUUUUUUACGGUAUCAGUAGUGUGGGAAAUAUAUACCGUUAGAUCUAAUCAACAGUACAUAUUAUUUAUAUUAAUGAAAAUUUUUAAUUAUUUGAAAAUUAUCUUAAUUGGUUAACAAACCUGUAAAAUAGGUAAUUUUAAAUUUAAAAUGAAAAAGAAACAGAGAUAUAGUCAAAUACAAUCUCUCUUUAUCUCUCACGUUCAUGUUUUUAUAAUUGGAUUCUUUAAGAUUAUCUCUGUCUCCUUAUGAUUAGAUGAAAGAGAUUCAAUAAAUUUCUCUUAAUAAAUAUUUCAGUAGUUUUAAUCGUAUUUUCAAAUUGGAAUUUUUUAAUAACGUAACAGCUGUAUUUUUAUUGUAUUGUCAAUUUAUUGCCUUGAGUAUUUGCUGCCAUGGUUUAAGAUCUGUCCUACGCUGCUUAAAAUCAUUCUAUAACGUGCCUAAAGGCACCAGGCGGUUUAGAGGCUCGUGUGGUUCACAGAUUACCAACCAUAGAGAAAAAGUAAAUGGGGAGAGAACCAUGAGGCAAGGUGCACUCACUACUAAAAAAAUGACCUUUACUGACACUUAGUUUCUGACACUUUAUAAAAAGUAUCAGUAAUUAUGUACAUAUGCACCAUUUUCCGCUUUUAACAAACAAGUAUUAUAAAUUAUUGAUACUAACGUGAUUAUGUGAUUAUGCUAUUACAGUGCUAAAAAGAAUGCAGGAUUAAUUAAUCCGCAAGGCAACUAGGCAAGUGGAUAUGUAUCUGUUUGAUGAUAGAUUAGUUUUGAGAAAUUCAUUUAUCUUAUUUAAAAGAUUUUCUUAUUUUUCUUAGUUGUUAGAAUAACACUGGACAAGAAAUAACUGAGUAUGUUGAAAAUUCUCAAGAAAAUUAUCCAUUUUGGAAGCAUAAAUAUAGGACAGAAAUAUGAAAUUAAUGAACUUAAUUUGAAGAAAGUUUAUUAGCAUUAUCUAUACGAUCAUCUAUGAGGCCUAUAAGAAGGUUAAUGAUUCUUACAAUUCAUGGUAUUUAUUACAGCCAAAAAAAAGUCAACUAAUUACGUAUGCAAGAGAAAUAAUUAAGUAAUUAAGUUGUAAUUAAUUAAUCACAAAGAAUGGCUUAUUUGCUUUUUAGAUUGAAGCCCUUGCUGGGAAGUUCAAUUCACUUUAUCACAUAUGAUCAAAACCACAGUUUCUAGUGUCGUUUUUUUGGGGUUUUGUUGAUUACACGGAAAGUAACUAAUUACUACAGCUAAAGCAUGCAAAACAAUAUUAGAAGCAAAAUGAUUUUUGGAUCUGAAGGGGCAAUUAUUUUUUUUUCAAGUUUGUUAUAUGUUCUUUUGUGAAGACCUGAAGAUUCGAGAGUCAGAUUAAUAAUUUUGUCUCUCUUAGGCUUUAUGCGGUGAGAAUGAACUUUCUCUCUUUUAAUUCUCUGUCAUUUUCUCAAUGAAGGCAACAAGAGAAAAUUCAAUCUUUAAAAGUCUCAACAUUCAGAAUUUGGCCAGUCUAGUUGUCUACUUUGCAUCUGCUGGAGUAUAAUAUCGCCAAGAGAUUUUUCCAUUGCACUUUACGAAUUUAUAUUACUUUGAGGAGGGAAUUCAGUUGACUACUAAUAUCUUACAAUUGAAAUUUAAAUGUCGGUCUUUAAAUUCUAAAAAUUAAAGGCAAGCCCCAUAUGAAAAUAUAGAUGUUAAAAUCUUCAUUUUUGUUUAUUGAUACUUUAUUUGUUAGUAUCAUUAUUUUAUAGAUAUACUUGAUGUUACACGAUUGACUAAAUAUUAACAUUAAAAUGCAUAUGGAAAGAAAAGAUGAUGGAGGGCCCCAUAAAAGCAUAAAAACAAACGGAGAGGGUGAAGCAAACUUUCAAAAUUGCAACCAUGAGAAUUAAAAUAGUUUAAGUAAGGUUUUUUUAAAAUCAUAAAUAAUGUACAAAAGAAAACUUAAUGAAGGAUUAUUUGAACCCAAAUUCUCAUUUGAACCAGUAUUAAAAAAAUUUAUUAUUAAAUUGUCUCUAACAUAAGAUACUGUUAUGGACUUAAUAAUGCGUAUUUCAUCUUGAAGUCAUCUCUAAAUUUGCUUAAUGUAUACAGAAAAAAAAAAUUGUUUCAUAGUUAUUAAUUUUUCUUCAACUCCUCUAGUUGAAAACAGAUCAAACUGAGUUGUUAAAUAUUGGAUUUGGUGAAAACUAUAUCACUAGUCAAGCUAUUCUAGAUUCAAACAAUCAAAUCUAUUUCAUUGAAUUCGAACUAUAUAAGAAAGAGGAAAGCCAUGCCAUUGAAAAAUAUUGUGCGCUUUAGUUUAGUUGUUUAAUUGAUUAUUGAUUACAACUAUAAUUUUAUUAUUACUUUAUUUUUUCAUGAUAUUAUAUAUGUUUUAUAGCGGUUUAAUGACAAUAAUGGGCAAAAAAAUUAAUUCCACUUAAUAAGUUGAGGGAUUUGGUUUUUGGGUAUGAACAGGUUACGGGUUGGAUAGAUAGAAGAAGAAGAAGGAGAAGAAGAAGAAUGGAAGAAAAAAGUUGCAGAAAAUCAUGAAUUAGUUUCAAAGGUAUAUUAGGUAUUAAGAUGGAUUUAUAAAGUAUAAUAUAAACUUUUAAAUUUUAACAAUGGUUUUAAUGAGUAAAGGAAUUUUGAAACUAAUCCGGUGGAUUUAAAAUGUACUCAUUAAAACUUAAUUAUUUUUUUUUGUUUUUUGAAAAGACUAAAACUUAAUUAUUUAAAAUUAAUAUAUUAGUGCAUAGAAUAAUGAAGCGAUCAAGGUAAUUUUUACAGCAUAAAUAAUCCUACUCUUUUAUGAAAUAGUAACUCUUGGAAUUGUCUGAUUAGAUUAUCAGAAGAUGUUUGCUUGUGGAUGCCAACUGACGUUACAAAGUGAUAAAUGGAUGAACGCACUGUUAACGGGAUAAUAAGUUGUAUAUGUAGGAUUAACGUGUGUGUAGAAGAAAUCUUGCGGUUAUAAUAGACUUGAAAGGUAUAGUCCGUGCACAUCUCACUAUUUGGUGCGUAUGAAUUUUAGCAAUUGAUAAACCGUGAAAUCAAUCAAAUCAUUACCGGCUAUGACUAACAUGAUCAGCCAUAAUUAUUUCUUGUCUCCAAAGAAUUAUUAGUAAACAGUAAAAGGAAGUCUUCAAUGUGAAGAAUUAUCUGUGAAUUCUUGUUCCUAAGUUCGAUCCAUUGUGUACGUGAGAUGAAACUAAAAAAUUAAAAAAGAAAGAAAUUAACAAUAAAGAAGAACGAUCAAGAAGAAGACGAAGAAUAAAAAAAAAAGGGAAUUAAGAAAUAAAGAAGACGAGGGGUGGAAAAUAGUAUUGAAUGAGAAAUGAGAAAUAUGAUUUUCCUUUUUUUAUUCUUAAUGUAAAUUUCACAGCAACAAUUAGAGCAACAUUCACGGAACAAUCUCUGUACCAAGUAAAGCCGACAAAUAUGGCCCUUGCUUUAGCCAUAGGGUUUCCUUCAUCCAGAUUAUGCCUUAAUUUUCUCUGAUUCCUCUAAGAAUUGAUUAAAGCAAUAAUGCAUGACAGAUAUAGUUUUCUCUGCUUAGUAGGGAUCAAUGCAUGCAUGAAAAAGUUGAGGACGAUAAACGACUAGUCGUUUUAACACCCAUACGAUGGUUUUAAGCUAAACUAUUCGACGAUUGUUCUGCUGCAACACAUGGGCCAAGAUGAAGAAUUUAUGGUAAAUUUAAGUUAUGUUGUAUUUGGAAUAUUUGGCGUCGAAUUUUUUCCUAAUUCCAGAUCCAUUUGCCCUUGUGACCAAAUCUAAUCUUGUUAGUUCUUUGAAGGGCUUGUUUUGGCAUCAUGAAUAAUUUUCUAAGAAAAUUUCAUCUCAGGUAUUAUAGUAUUGGGAGAUGGUUAAAAUAAAUAAUUUUAUCAGUGUAAGUAAUUGAAUACUAGUGAAUUCAAAUACAAAGUUUUUCAAUUAAAAGUAAAAAACGAAAUAAAUUAAAUCCUAUUACACCACUUUCGCAGGUAAUCACGGUUGCAUUUAGCGUAUGCAACAAGCCUUUAAACCCCUAGGCAGCCCUAGUGGACGAGUUUAGUCUCGUGAGGGUUUGUAGCGACGAUACCCACAAACAUCAUCAAUCCCUUUAAUAAUAUUUAUCUUAAUCUUCAUUACUACCAAAAUGAAUGCUCCGUCCUCUCACAAGGGCAACAUUAUCAGAAACCUCACCACAAUUAUCACAGAAGCAUUGUGCCAUUAUGCUCAUUGCCGAAACUUCAUCUAAGAAGGGCUUUUGACAAGCUACCUCAAAUUCUUUCAAUGUCCUCGUAGAACUUUCACUAGAGUUUGUCUCGUUCUGGUAGCAAUAGCUUGUGGUGAUAUAUUUAUCAAAAUCUUUCAUGAACGUUUUGGUAUGCUUGGCCUAAUAAAAUGAAAAAACAAAGAAAAAAAUGAAAUGAAUAUAUGCUUUAAAAAAUGAGUUAACUAAAUUAAAAUUUUUAAAGACUAAUAACUAAAUUAAAUUUUUUAAGACUAACCCUUCGCAAGCCUUCGCCGGUCUCAUCGUACUCCCCAACUAUCGGGUCGCCAAUGAUCAGACCACCAACAUUAUGAUCAUUUAUCUGCAUAUAAAAGUCGUUAGAGAAAUACAAUCCAUAAAUUUAUUUGCUUAAUAUAUUCUUUGUAAUUUUUUUUUUUAACAAAUUGAGCUACAAUUCAUGUUUCUUUUUAAAAUUAAAUUAACCAAAUAGUAUUUCUAAAUUUUAACACUCAAGUCCUGCUCAUUUUAAUUUUUUAUGUUAAUAUCAUUGUCCAUUAUUGAUCAUUAUGAAAAUUCUAAUAGAAUGUGGAAUUGUCAUUUUUACCCUUACAAAGAAACAACUGAAGGUUGAGGAUAUUUAAACCAUAAAAAUAUUCUUUGUACCACCUUUUAAUUAAAUAAUUUAUAUUAAAAAAUACUCAUUCAUUAAAUUAUUUUAUGGACGAAGAAUAAAUCUCUGUAAUUUACAACUAUUUAUUCUUUAUCCAUGCUAUCUUUCAUCUUGCACAAAAAUAACCAUUCGUAUAAACUAAAAAAGAAAAAUCCUUAGGAAAGGUGUAGUUCAAGAAUUUCUAGGGAAUAUGAAUGACAAGUUUAUAAAUAACAAAAUUUUAAGAGCUAUAAAUCUUAUAUUUGGAGCAUCUAUGAAAAAAUAACAACAUUUUCAAAUCAAACCACUACUUAGACCAAAGGACCUAUGUUAGGAUUAUUGUUGAUGAAAAAAAAUCUGUUUCUGAAAUAUGAUGGUUUCAACCAAAAUUAUUUUAUUAGGUUUGAGUUUAUGACAAGUAGAAAUUAAAAAAAAAAUGGAGGAUGAAGUUCAGGAGUGCUAAAUUGUUAUUUAGGAAUAAAGAAAGCAAAGGGACGAAGUUCGGUUUCCAUUUAGAUGAAGAUAUUAAUAUGCAAAUAAUAAAAUUUAAUUACAUAUAAUUUAAGAAGUAUGGGACAUGUUCAUUAAUAAUAUCAUUGAAAACAUUUAAUUUACGCAUCUACACAGUCACUUUGGUCAUAGUUUGUUAUUAUUGACAAAUUAAUAUAUUUUUGUCACAUAUUAUUUUUUUAUUGACAUAUUCAAAUAAUUUAUUUUAUAUUAAAGAGAUAUUAUGUUAUAAAAUUUUUGUUAUUAAAUCAUGUUAAUUUUUCAUGCAUUUUGGAAUUUGUACGUGAGAUUACAUUACUGCACAUACAAUGUCACUCAUUCUAAUAGUGAAAUUAGGUCGAUGGAUUCAAGUGUAAAAAUUUUUGAAACAAUCUGGACAUACAUGUUAAGAUUUAGAAACCUUUGACUCUUUUGAUUUUUCAGCAAACAUCAGGGAUGGCAAUGUUAGUAACCAUGCAAACACAUGCAUCUAAACCGUUAUGCAACUAUUUGGUUUGGUCUAAUGGUUAUAUCACUAAAUGAAAAACAAGGGGUACCUAACGUGGAUUACAAAAUAGUUGGACCUUAUAUAGAUGUUAAAUUAUUGUUUAUUUAUUUUGAAUAUCACUUUUACUACUUAUUCAUAGUUAUAAUAUUAUAAACUUACACGUUUUCUGAGUUGCUCCAGAUCCUGUGCUUUUGUAGUUUGUGUUAUAUGUCUGCGACAUUGAAAAAAAAUAGUGUUACACAAAUAAUUAAUUUAUAUUUUAUCUCUAACUAGUAUUUACUAUAAUGUGAAAAGCAAUUAUACCCCAAUGGUGUCAUUUCCACAUAAUUUUGCUCGAAGUUGGCUAGUGCAAGGCCGAUAUACUUAGAUCCAGGAUCAACAGCUAUAAUAUUUUUCUUAAGAGCUUUACAUUCUCUCAAAAGAUUCUUGGCAAUUUUGAGACUCAUUGAGGAUUUUAUUUUAAUUAACCAACAAAUUUUCUUUUUGCCAAACGAUUAUGCUUGUUUUGAUUUGUGCUCCUUAAAUUAGAUAGAUAAUCAUGUAUUUGAUCAUGUUUUUUUUUUAAAUAUAAAAGAAAAAAAUCAUUCAUUGUACAUGUAUUUGUGCUCCUUGAAUUAGGUAGAUAAUCAUGCAUCUGAUCAUGUUUUUUUUUCAAAAAUAUAAAAGAAAAAAAUUAUUUAUUGCACUUGUAUUUGUUUGAGGUUGAAUCACGACAUAAAACAUCUAUGCUAAUUUUUUUUUUUCAACAUCCAAUUAAAAUCCUGGUUCUGCCACUGAUUAGAAGACUUGGGUCAAUUUUAAAUUUUUGCUAGCAUGUGAGCGGAUUCAAGAGACAUUGUGAACUCAAGGAACAUCUCUAUUCAUUCCAUCAGCCCAUAAAUAUCACUAAUGACCCAAAAAACCUCAGUACGAGAGCUAGAGACACAAUUAAUAAGUUCAUGAGCCACUACACAAUUGGCUUGAUCAUCACCAGCAUGUUCUACCACUUUAUUAGAUCGGCCUGGAUUUGCUCUUGCCGUGCAAACAACAGAAUCCCAUCUAAAGUUAGAUUAAUUACAUCUUAUCCUUCAUUAAAAAAUAAAUAAAAUUACAUGUUAUCCUAGGUUGCAAUGUUAGAUUUCAUAAUUAAAGAAUAAUACUUUUAUAUUUGAAUUAUCUUUAUUUUCAAUUAUUUUUUAUAAUUAAUUUUUUAGAGUAUGUAUUCAUAGAAUAAGGUACUUUAUGUCCCAUUUUAUUUAAUAUACUUCUUUCUACUUAUGAAAUUUUAUGGUCAUAAUAAAAUAUUAAUUUUUAAUUUAGCCCAAGAUAAUAUAAAGCUUUGGGUCCGCCCCUGGUUAACUUAUUGACUAGCGACUAAAUAGACGAUGUUUGGGUUGCCUCUCCGAUGAUUGAAAUUUUUUUCUUUUUUUUUUGUGAAAAAAAGAAAAUACUCAAAUAGUUUUAUUUUUAAAUUAAAUUAAAGAAGUUGUUCUUACUGAAGUACAAGACGCAGUUCCUACGAAAUAAAAUUAAAGAAUGAAGAAGAUAGAAAUUGUAAAAGCUAGCUGCAUACACAGCUUUUGGGCAUGUAUUAAAGGACAAAUUAAUCAAGCACGCCACCAAAUUGGAACGCAUUCGUGAUUCACCCGAUGGUGAGUUGCAUAAAGGAGACUUUGCAUAAAAGUACAAACUCAUUAAUCAUUAAGACAUGAAGUAGUUGUAAUUAUUUAAUUGUAAUAACUUUAAUUAUCAACUUCUAAAAUUUAUGGUAACGUUAUCAAUAAAAUUCCGAAGGAUGAAAAUUGUCAAUCAGUCUCAUUAAUAACGGCAACUUCUUGCUCAAUGUCACUCGCUUUCACUCUUAAUUUUGAAUAUUUAAGUAGUUUUCUUAUUAAUUAAAUUGAAUAAGUUGUGGUUUGUGUGUAAUCACUCGAGUUUCAGCAAUAAUGAGUAGGGUUAGUGUUGGUAUUUGCACAAAAUUGUUAUAACUACAAUUAUUAAUAGUUGAAGAACACCAAAUUUAUUUAUUGAGUAGUGUUACACAUCUCAAAAUUUUUAUCAUAAAUGAUAUGACAUUCAUCAAAUUGAUUGGUGAGAUAUUACAAUUAAUUUACUUAAAUUUGAUAAGAAAUUAUGAAAUUUAAUGAAUGACAUGUUAUUUAGAAUAAACUUUGAGAUAAUAGGAGUCUAUUACCACUCUUAUUUUUUUAGACUUGGCUAGGACUGAAAAAUGAUGUUGAAUCGUUAAUAGGAAAACCAUUCAAGAAAACAUAGAACGACGAUGCAAGGUAUCAAGAAUAUUAAAAAAUAUGUUAGAGCCGGUUAGGGAUGGCAAUUGGCACCGCCCGCGGCGGGUUUGUCAUUAUCAAAGCCAAACCCACACAAAAUUUAAAUUACCAAACCCACCUGCAACCCAUAGCGGGUUUUAAUUUUUUUAAGAAAACCCACCCGCUAAGGAUUUUGACAAUUACCAAACCCGCAUUGGUAUCCGGCGGAUUUUUUGGGGAAUUUUUAUAUUUAAAAUCACAAAUGUUGAAUAUAUAAAUUUACAAUAAUAACCUCAAAUUCCACAUAACAUAUUCAAUUUUAAAUUUAACUAAUAUAAAUGAAAAAUUAAAAUUUCAACAUCAAUCCAACACAAAAUUUUAAAUUUUAAGUAUAAAAUACACAAAUCCAUUAAAAAAAACGACAAACUAAUAUCUAAAAAUAACAAUUACAUCUCAUAUUAUCAUUCAACACAAGCUCCAAGAAAGAUGUUCAUUUCAUUCACCAUCAUUAGCACCCAUCCAACAUGAUGCCUACAAUAAUGAUUAAGAUUAAUAUUUUCCAAAAAAUAAUAUUUUUCAAAUACUAAUCCGAAAAAACUUAUAUAAUGAACUAAUUCAUGCAUUAAGUUAAAGAAAAAUAGUCCAUACAAAAACAUUUUGGUUAUUUGGCACUUUGCAUUGUUAUACACACUACACUUGUUUAUACUUUGGUUAUUUGGCGCUUUGCAUAAUUGCAUUAUUUUCUUUAUAUAUUAAAUAUUUAAAUAUUUUUCAAUUAAAAAUAUUUAAAAAAUAUUGCGGGUCUAGCGGAUAUCCAUGUGGGUAUUCGCCGGAUAUUGGGCUAAUACCAAACCCACCCGCAUCCAAAUGCGGGUUUCAAUUUGUAAUACCAAACCCACCCGCAACCCACAAAAUUAUCCGAAGCAGACGGGUUUUGGCGGGUGGAUUUGGGCGGGUUUGUAGACACAAUUGCCAUCCCUAUAGCCAGUUAAAUGGAGAAAAAUUUUAAAUAGUUUUCAUAAAGCAUAUUUUUAUUUUUUUAUUGAGCAUAAAAAUUGCAUUAAUCUCAUGACAAAAGAGUAUAAAGUUCUACUAAAACAUUUUCCAGCUGAACUACAACACUAGUCGUCGAGGCGGAACUACAUUCACGCCUAGCAAGGGUUGCCAAGGUUUCAAAAUUUAUUUUUAAAAAAUAAUGUGAAAACUAAAAAGUUUUCAAAAUGAUCCCCAAUAUAUGUUUCAAGGCAACUCUCAAUUUUCUUCAUAUUUUCGCAACCCCUAAAUUAAAAUCUUAAUUCCACCACCGACUAGACGACUUUUGCAAAUUCUGCUAGCUUUUGAGUUGAUACUUUGCAAUUUCAAGAGACAGGUUGAACUCAAAAAGCACUCAUUCGUUCCAUCAGCAGAUGAAUAUCACUAAUGACCUAAACAAACCUCAAUACGAAAACCUUCAAUCAGCCACUACACAAUUGCGCUACUACAGUCAUUGAAUUCACAUGGCAACAACAUCCAUGGUUGUGCACGUUUUAGCUAGCGUCUUUAAUGCGCGCUCAAAUUUAAGUUGGCAAAAAUACAUGAUUUUUCUCUAAGCUCUGAUUUUAAUCUUGUGGGAAGGAGAUGAAUGAAAUACUAAUUUUUUUUUUUAAAGGGUGAAAGACCAAAAAAGAAAAAAGCAGUACUUGAAAAUUAUAAGCUCAAAAGUUGUUUAACUAGCAAUUCAUUCAUUUAUUUUUUUAGAAGGAAUAAUUCAUGAGUUUUCAAGUCAGCUUUAACGACAAUGAGAUGUGAAAAUAAUUGUUGCAUCUUUAGAAAGUAGUCCUCUUAUAAGAAUGCACACAUCCUUUUAAAGUACAGACGUUCAGAUUUUAUAAGCUCAUAUUACAAUAUAUUUAUGUAAUAUUCAGAAGUUUCAUCGAGAGUUUUUAAGUUACAUUUCACUCUUACCCCUCCUCAUCAUCAAAUUAAAUGUAUACCCUUAGAAUUGCACUUGUGACUUCUUGCUUCCAUUGCAAUGGUUAAGCCAAUUAUAUUCGGGAUUUAAAUUUACGUGAUUAUAAUACAUUCUCGAAAUGUAGCGAGACUAAAAUGAUAAUCUAAGCCUGUUAAACUAAAACCAAAACAAAUGGUUGAUCGUGAUUUCUUUUUCAUUAGAUUUUAAUACUAAUGUAUGCAUGGUGUAAUGUUUAGACAAAAUAGAUGGGCGCUUAGUGUUAUUUACUUAAUUUGAUAUCUAAUUUUGAGAACCACAUUGGACUGGUCCCGUUGGAUCUGACUGUCCAUGUAGUCUAUUUUGGUCUAAAUAGGGAUCAAACUUUGAUUGAACUUUGGACUCAAAUGUGGAAUCAGUUAGGGGUGGGCAUGAGUUGGUUUGUGUUAGAUUUUAAAACAAUCCGAACUAAAUUAUAAAAAUUUGGGCCUGACCUAAACCAACCCAAAUAUUUUUAACCCAGCCCAAAUAAUUCA